UGGGGGAGGAAGGGCCGAGGCGGGCCGCUGGCUGCCAGCCCAGGGCGGGGCGGAGCCCUACUUCUGGCCGCCCGCGUAGGCGGUGCUUGAACUUCGGGCUGCUUGUGGCUGGGCACUCGCGCAGAGGCCGGCCCGACGAGCCAUGGUUGCUGGGAGCGACGCGGGGCGGGCCCUGGGGGUCCUCGGCGUGGUCUGCCUGCUGCACUGCUUUGGUUUCAUCAGCUGUUUCUCCCAACAAAUAUAUGGCGUUAUGUAUGAGAAUGUAACUUUCCAUGUACCAAGCAAUGUGCCUUCAAAAGAGCUCCUAUGGAAAAAACAAAAGGAUAAAGUUGCAGAACUGGAAAAUUCUGAAUUCAGAGCUUUCUCAUCUUUUAAAAAUAGGGUUUAUUUAGACACUGUGUCAGGUAGCCUCACUAUCUACAACUUAACAUCAUCAGAUGAAGAUGAGUAUGAAAUGGAAUCGCCAAAUAUUACUGAUACCAUGAAGUUCUUUCUUUAUGUGCUUGAGCCUUUUCCAUCUCCUACACUAACUUGUGCGUUGACUAAUGGAAGCAUUGAAGUCCAAUGCAUGAUACCGGAGCAUUACAACAGCCAUCGAGAACUUAAAACGUACUCAUGGGAUUGUCCUAUGGAGCAAUGUAAACAUAACUCAACCAAUAUAUAUUUUAAGAUGGAAAAUGAUCUUCCACAAAAAAUACAGUGUACUGCUAGCAAUCCAUUAUUUAAAACAACAUCAUCAAUCAAUUUGGCAACCUGUAUCCCAAGCAGUGGUCAUUCAAGACACAGAUAUGCACUUAUACCCGUACCAUUAGCAGUAAUUAUAACAUGUGUUAUGCUGUAUAUGAAUGAGUCUCGCUAUGUUGCUCAGGCUGGUCUUGAACUCCUGGACUCAAGUGAUCUGACCACCUCAGCCUCCCAAAGUGCCGGAAUUACCACUGAGCAUUUACUAUGUUCCAGGCCCUGUGCUAAGCGCAUUGCCUGCUGCGUCUCACCCUUCAGUAGGAGUAGCCUCAGCUGCUAAUCAUGGUGAAAUAAAUGUCACUGCAAGUUUAAGGAAGACUAUGCACUAUUACCACUGAGCAUUUACUAUGUUCCCGGCCCUGUGCUAAGCGCAUUGCCUGCUGCAUCUCACCCUUCAGUAGGAAUAGAUAAUCCUUACAGCAGCAGCUCUGCACAGUAUCAUUCUCUCCUGUACAAAUGAAGAGACGGAGGCUCGAAUUCUCACACGACACCCUUGCAGCACUUGAACCACUCCAGGAUUCUGUUCUGCUGGUCACCCAACUAUUCUCCCAGGUCACCGGGGUUACUUACAAUCUUGGAUUUAGGGUUGCCAGAUUUAGCAAAUAAAGAAUACAGUAUGCCUGGUUAAAUUUGAAUUUCGGGUAAACAGAUAAAAUUUUAGUAUGAGUAUGUCCCAUGCAAUAUUUGGGACAUACAUUCAAAAGACAAUUCACUCUCCUAUAUUCCAUCUGGCAAUCCUACUUGAAUUGAAUUUGCAGAGUUCUCCCUGUUCCAUUAGAAAUGAUCACACUUGGAAAUAUUGGAUGGUUCUAUCCCAUUUCCUGACAAGUGGUGCUCCCCGCACAUUCUCUAAAUCAGAGGCAUCAAGUAUUCACCAGGGUGUGUUUGAAAUAGCCCUAUGUGCAUUUUCCUUAAAAAUGAGAAUCUAUGCAUUUAUUUCGGCUUAAAUCUGUAAAUAUUUUAUUCGCUGCUGCUACUCAGUUAAAACCCCCAGUUUCAUCAUGUUCUGACUGGCAAAUGUUUGAAGUGUCUGAUUUUAAAACAGCUCUAGUUCUCUUUUAAUUAGAUAUUUAAUUUAACUGGCUGCUGAUCAAUAGUUUCAGGAUAUUUGUUUUCAACUUGAUGGGAAUGGCAAAGGACCAUUUGUGCAUAAAAUAGCCCACUAGUUAUCCUUGUUUUCAGUGACGCCUUUGCUCUUACUGUUAUUUCUUAAUGUCACAACUGUUGGCUCCCCAGCAAGUUAAAUAUCAGCCCUGGUAGAAGCUGAUCUGAUGAGUCCCCUUCUAUAUUGAAAAUGCUGGUAGAAACACUGAAGCCGGGAAAGCAGAGGAAUAAAGGAGGGCAGGGCAUUGAGGAAAUGAGGCCAAGGGUAGAGCGAUCAUACUUGAACCUGCCAAUCAUGAAGCAGGAAUCUGUGCUGCCUUGGGAAUGGAGAGGCUGGGGAGGAGUCUCGAGCCAGCCCUUUGGCUGUGGCCAGGGAUGGGUCAUGGGGAGUCUUAGCCCAGCUCAUUCCAACAUGAUACCCUCAUGAUCCCAGAUGCUCCCAUUUGCUUUCUUCACUGAAUAAAAAGAGAAAGGGAUUUCUAUAUCCAAUCCCCUACCAAACUGUGUACUUAGGUAGAGCAAAUCCAUUGCAUUCAUGAAGCUUCCAUCAGACCUGGGGAAAUUCUUAAAAUGGUAAAGACAUCUAUAGCAUAUAAUUUCAGUCAGAUCUCCUCUUCUCUUUACACGUUCUCAUGCCUCAAGUUCCCAUCCAUUCAGAUUUCACACAAUUUUCCAGACAAAUAUCUGUAGAAAUUCACAAACCACUUAUUCUGAGGUUUUGCAUAGAGCUUAUGGUAGACGUGAUCAUGGCACAGAUCUGGGUCACUGCCAAUCCCAUGUUCUACUCUUCUUCAACUUGUUUAAGACUCCUAUUUUGAAGAAUGAAUGACCAUUUUUGUAUACCUCUUUGCUUCCAUCAUCAGCACCAGCAGUUACCAUUCUUGUGGCAUCCAUUUUCCAUAAAGAAACACGAGUUUUUGUCAUUCACAGGUAUCUACAUGAAAAGCAGCAAACAGAGGGUAAUAAAGCUGUGACGUGAUGCAGAUGCGUCGCAGCUGGCUCAGCCCAUUCACUGACAACAAGAUCAGUGCUCAGAAACCAGAUUCUGAAUCCAACACAUGACUCAGAUUUAUGCCUCUGGAAAAUUAGAAAUCAUGAUCAGUUAUAGGUCUUUAGACAAACCAACUAAUAUUAAAUGCAGGAGUUCAAAAGAUCGUGUACGUGGAAUCACUUUGUAUCAUCCUGUAUCCCUGACUUGACUAGAACCGGCCAUUUACCAAAGAAGCUUGUUCCCAGGCAUUUUUCCAGUGUUACACAGUGAAAAGGUAGGUGAGUUGAAGCUGUGAUAAAAUGGUAAUGCUAAUCCUACUAUCAUUGCCUAGUACCUGUUGCAUACCAAGUGCUUUACAUCAGAUUUUGCAUCGUGGUUAGGGCUGAGCAUCCUGGGUUUGAAUCCUGGCUCUGCCACUCCCUAGCUGAAUGACCUCGGAAAAUUUACUUCAUCUCUCUGUGACUCAGUUUCCUCAUCUAUAAAAUAAGGACAUGAAUAGUGUCUACCUCACAGGGUCAUUACGAGGAUCAAAGGAGCUAGUAUUUGUGAAGUGUGUAAAUCAGAGCCUGGUAUGUAGUAAGCACUAAGUGUCAGGAUUUCAUAUAUAUAUAUCUCUCUCAUAUAUAUAAUAAAUAUAUAUACACACAUAUACAUUCAAAUAUACACCCAUACUUAUAUUUAUAUUUAUUUAUAUUGCUAUGUAUGUGUAUUUGAAUGUAUAUAUGUGUGGAUAUAGUCACAUACAUGUAUGUGUGUGUACAUGUGUGAGUGAAAAUUUAUGUGUUUGGUUUCUGGUUCACAGCCAGUUCAGCUGUCAAGGGUGAGACUCUUUGGGUGGGUUGCCUAUAGAGAAAAGGCAAGAGAGACUUAACAGGACAUCUCUCUUGCAGAGGCUCUUAGCAACUCUGCAUUACUUUCUCCUCUUUCCCCAAGCAGAUGGUAAUCAUAGGGACCCACAAGCCAAGUUAGAUCUUCAGUGGAGUAAGUGAUCUUUAGCAACUGUGUCACACUUGGCUAAAGUUUAUUAUUCAUUGAGGGCAAUCAGCAGAACCUGGGCCAGGGCAGUCACCCAGAAGUUUAUAGGUCAGAUUCCCUGGGUCUGUUUGAGGCUAGAUGUCUCUGAGUCUCUGAAAUGCAACCAUUUCUAAUGUGGAACAGAGAGAAAGACACAAGCAGGGUGGAAAGGUGAAUGCUGAGGAACUAGGAGGCCAAAGGGAGCCCCUUGCCCUGAAAGCGGUCUGGCAGGUGUGAUGACAGAGGCAGGGAGCCACUGCCAUCACUGACACGCAGGGGUUUCACUGUAGAGAUGAUUCCGGAUUGGCCCCUGAUCUUAAAGCCUCUGGGUCUGAAGGUCCAGGACUCUGCUCUGUGCAGCGGUCAGGAAGCCCAUCUCUCCAGGCUUGGCUUCUUCAGGGGCCAGUGCUCUGCCUCUACCUUGUAGGGUGGGGACCUGGCAUUCAACAUCUCGGUGCACGGGUGUCUUCUGAAAAAGACCUGGAGGGCAGGCUCUUUCUGCCUCUUCUGGGAGGAGCAUAAGGGGGAGUUGCACUGUAGGAGUGGAGAUGCUGUCCUUCACUGCUAGAGAAUAAAGCAAGGAGUUUUGUGGGUUGAGCUAAGAUCAUUUAAGAAGCCCCAAAGGCUAGAAUUUGGGGAUUUUCCAAGUCAAAGGAGCCAGAUGCAGAUAAAGGAUCCUGGGUACAGAAGCAAGAAUCUGAGAACUGGGAGAGAAAAGCAAACACCAAGUGGAUUGACAGUUAAAAGAGGGUUUGCUCUUCUAGACUGGGAUGGCUCCUGGGUAGGGCAGCUGAGCUCUCCAUGAAGAGCUUAAGGACACAGAGAGCCAGCAAUCAAUCUCCUGAGAUCAACACAUCCGCUCCCAUGCUUCACUCUUCUAUCCACAUGGCCAAGCCAUUGAAAGGAAAUGAUGUAUCUGAGCUUUAGAUCUCAACUGUAGCUACUAGAACCCUCAAGACAGGUCUGGAUCCCCUAAAGUCACAAUAGUGACUGAAGGAAUGAGGAUUUUUUUUUUUUCACUGACUUCUCCAGGCUACUUCAAAUGUGGUCAUACCUUAGAGUUAACCCUAUUUCCCUCGAGUUUCUCCUUACUGUUAGGCCCGGUCCCGGGGCCCUCAUCUGUCCUGGUUUCCUUCCUUUUUGUCUUAUGAUCUCUUUGUAGACUCACCCUCUUUUUUGAUAAAUCACACACUUAUUUUAAACUCACUGUUGCAUUAAUCCUUAAAGCAAGUGUACCUUUUAAAUGACCGUUGGCAUAAACCUUUUUAAAAAAUUUUAUUUUUUUUAAUUUUAUUUUUUGUGGCCGAGUGUGGUGGCUCAUGCCUGUAAUCCCACCACUUUGGGAGGCCGAGGAGGGUGGAUCACUUGAGGUCAGGAGUUCAAGACCAGCCUGGCCAAUAUGGUGAAACCCUGUCUCUAGUAAAAAAUUCAAAAAUUAGCCAGACAUGGUGGUGCAUGCCAACAGUUUCAGCUACUCAGGAGCCUAAGGCAGGAGAAUCUCUUGAACUCAGGAGGCAGAGGUUGCAGUGAGCCGAGAUCACACCACUGCACUGCAGCCUGGGUGACAGAGCAAGACUCCAUCUCCAAAAAAAAAAAUAAAA
Molecule: RNA transcript, 5451 nt
Organism: Pongo pygmaeus (Bornean orangutan)
Lineage: Eukaryota; Metazoa; Chordata; Mammalia; Primates; Hominidae
Gene: CD58
Gene name: CD58 molecule
Exons: 7
Source: RefSeq, a predicted model, not a curated record